RNAcentral lists this ribosomal RNA (729 nucleotides) under Candidatus Tremblayella phenacoccinincola. RNAcentral's name for it is "bacterial SSU rRNA". It matches the Rfam family "Bacterial small subunit ribosomal RNA", at positions 658 to 1382 of the family's 1533-position model. The record is from RNAcentral. Lineage: Bacteria; Pseudomonadati; Pseudomonadota; Betaproteobacteria.
GGGAUAGAAUUCCAGGAGUAGCGGUGAAAUGCGUAGAUAUCUGGAGGAAUACCAAAGGCGAAGACAGUCCCCUGGUCCAAUACUGACACUGAGGUACGAAAGCGUGGGGAGCAAACAGGAUUAGAUACCCUGGUAGUCCACGCCCUAAACGAUGUCGAUUAGCCAUUGGAAGGACCCCUUUUCCUUUCAGUGACGUAGCUAACGCGUUAAAUCGACCGCCUGGGAAGUACGACCGCAAGGUUAAAACUCAAAGGAAUUGACGGGGACCUGAACAAGCGGUGAAUGAUGUGGAUUAAUUCGAUGCUACGCGAAGAACCUUACCUACCUUUGACAUGGCCAAAGUUCUACCGAGAGGCGGAAGUACUCGUAAGAGGAUUGGCGCACAGGUGCUGCAUGGUUGUCGUCAGUUCGUGUCGUGAGAUGUUGGGUUCAGUCCCGCAACGAACGCAACCCUUAUCUUUAAUUGCUCCUAUUUUAACAGGCACUUUAAAGAAACUGCCAAUGAUAAGUUGGAGGAAGGUGGGGAUCACGUCAAGUCCGCAUGGCCUUUAUAGGUAGGGCUUCACACGUCAUACAAUGGUUAGAACAAAGAGCUGCAAAUUCGUAAGAAGGAGCCAAUCUCACAAACCUAACCUCAGUUCGAAUUGCGGUCUGCAACUCGAGCGCAUGAAGCCGGAAUCGCUAGUAAUCGUGGAUCAGAAUGCCACGGUGAAUACGUUCUUAGGUCUU